UUAGGGCCCUGGCUCCAUCUCCUUUAGGAAAAUCUUCUGUGGGGAGUGGGGUUUCGACCCUAACC
RNAcentral lists this microRNA precursor (65 nucleotides) under Dasypus novemcinctus (nine-banded armadillo). RNAcentral describes it as "microRNA dno-mir-1296 precursor". The record is from miRBase by way of RNAcentral. Lineage: Eukaryota; Metazoa; Chordata; Mammalia; Cingulata; Dasypodidae.